Molecule: transfer RNA, 68 nt
Filed under: Manis javanica (Malayan pangolin)
Lineage: Eukaryota; Metazoa; Chordata; Mammalia; Pholidota; Manidae
Description: tRNA-Phe
Rfam family: tRNA
About the family: Transfer RNA (tRNA) molecules are approximately 80 nucleotides in length. Their secondary structure includes four short double-helical elements and three loops (D, anti-codon, and T loops).
Source: RNAcentral
GUUAAUGUAGCUUAAAACCAAAGCAAAGCACUGAAAAUGCUUAGAUGAGUCCACAAACUCCAUAAACA